Molecule: ribozyme, 66 nt
Filed under: Aedes aegypti (yellow fever mosquito)
Lineage: Eukaryota; Metazoa; Arthropoda; Insecta; Diptera; Culicidae
Description: drz-agam-1 ribozyme
Rfam family: drz-agam-1 ribozyme
Source: Rfam by way of RNAcentral
UGCCCUGCAAUUUCUAUCCCUACCUCCUCGUGGUACUGGCCGGGGUACGAGUAACCUUGGGGAAGA